UAGAUACCCUGGUAGUCCUUACUAUAAACUAUGUAUACUUGGUGUAACUGGACUCAACCCUAGUUGUGCCGUAGCUAACGCGAUAAGUAUACCGCCUGGGGAGUACGCUCGCAAGGGUGAAACUCAAAAGAAUUGACGGGGACCCGCACAAGCAGUGGAGCAUGUGGUUUAAUUCGAUGCAACGCGAAGAACCUUACCCAGGCUUGACAUGCAGUAGACAGUCCAAGAAAUUGGAUCUUCCUUCGGGACU
This 250-nucleotide ribosomal RNA is filed under the name uncultured bacterium. RNAcentral describes it as "partial 16S ribosomal RNA". It matches the Rfam family "Bacterial small subunit ribosomal RNA", at positions 779 to 1028 of the family's 1533-position model. The record is from RNAcentral.